RNAcentral lists this non-coding RNA (174 nucleotides) under Clostridiales bacterium. Lineage: Bacteria; Bacillati; Bacillota; Clostridia; Eubacteriales. The record is from RNAcentral.
UUGAAGAGAAGCGUUUCAGGUGCCUUUACAAGGAGAAUAGGGAAUCCGGUUUAAAUCCGGAACGGGCCCGCCACUGUAAUGAAUAGUGCUUUUUAUUUAGCCACUUCCACUGGAGGGAAGGCAAGAAGCAUGUUAUGUCAAAGCCAGGAGACCUGCCUGAAAUCAAUCAUCUUU